CAGAUCUUUUGCAUGUCUAUAAUAUGUGAUACCGUGUGCACUUUCUAUCAGACAAAUAUACAUCUCCUCAACUGCGAUAGGAUAAAUUGGCUUCUUGAAGAUAUAAACCACUUAAUAACUUACAAUUCUUACUAUGUGUUUGAAGGACAAUACUAUAGACAAAGGAAAGGAGUACCCAUAGGCAGACCCUUCGCAGAAAACGUGAUGGCUGAAGUUGGUGGUGAGGUACAAAGAGUCCCAAGCACUAGGUCCUGUCCUAUCUGAGCUCAAGCUAUUUAUCUGAUAUAUUGAUAAUAUAUGUGUAAUUUGG
Molecule: long non-coding RNA, 310 nt
Filed under: Androctonus crassicauda
Lineage: Eukaryota; Metazoa; Arthropoda; Arachnida; Scorpiones; Buthidae
Source: RNAcentral